GCCGCGACGCCCGCCAGCGCUUAGCCGGGAUGGGGUCCGGAGUCUCCCGGGAGCCGCCUCGCGCGUGCGCGACUCGGACCGAGGCGGCGCUGGAGAGUCCUGCGUUACCUCCCCCGGACUGGACGCCUCGUUACCGCCCCGCACACCUUUGUGGGCGUCCGGGCCCGGGGUUCAGGGUUUGGCAUUAACUGAGAUGGGACUGUUAGGCCGCCUGGCAGGUCUGGAUUAGCUGCAAAGGUUGGCCAGCAGCGUGGUUUCGGUUAGAACCCCGAUCAGGUGCCUCCGGUUCUCGAACUCAGUACAGGCUGCCCCUGGGGGCGUGGAGGAGCCAGGAUCAGGGAAGGCCUCUUCAUAGAUGUCAAAAACGGACCCCCUUACAAAAGGCGUCCACCACCUGCCUGGCGGAUCUCGUGGGAUAAGUGUGUGUAGCGUUUACACUCGAAUUUUCCGACGAGCCCUGAAUGCCACUUAGUUUUUUUUUUUUUUUUCUUGUCUUGGAAUUGGAAACUAACCCUCUCCAUCGUCCUCAGUCUCGAAUUCCAAAGAUCUUGUCUUUUUAUUCAGCAUAAAUAUGCGCAUUUGGGAAUGUAUAGGGAUAUGCCUUACCUCUUUUAUCCUUACGAGUUAAUUUCUGUUUUGUAGAUGCUGGGACCUAGGCCUGGUGUGCCCUCAGACAACUGAUCUACAUUCCCAGCACAAGCGACCCCAAGGGUGCCACCCCACCGCUGCCCUCAGAGGCAGACUGGAGGACAGAUCUUCCAAGCGCACGUGGUUCUAAAGUGAGAGGAAUGAAGCCACAUGGAGACCAUGAAGAAACUCAGAGAUCAGCAAGAGGAAAAAGUCACUGCAGCAUCGAAGCUGGAGGAAGACCUGGAGUUGCUGAGUAGAACAUAGAUGUUUAGGGGUCUAUUCAGUGGACUCAUGCAGGAGGAGGUGCAUUCAGGCAGAAGAGAGAAAAGUUUCCUGGCUUCUUUCUUGGUCUGGCUCUCAGUAUCCUGCUGGAGCCUCUCAGGGGCUUCAGCCAGCUGGGGUGCACCUUACUUCCAAGCUGGGAACUGUGCUGUGUAGGGAUCAGAUCCUCUACAAUCCACAUCACAACAGAGGAAGGUGAGAAACGGCUUCAGCAGGAAAGAGCAAAGGACAGAUGCAGUAAUGAUUGCUAAAAUAACAGUGGAAGGCCGCAUUUUGGCCUUCUGCGUUCCUAGGACCUAGAUAUCGUUCGGUGAGAGUAGCAUGUGUCCUGUCUCCUGAUUCAUUUCCUUAUCGCUCUUCAAUGUUUCUAUUCAUUACUAGCUUUUUAAAUCAUGUGCUGAUAACAAGAUUCCAUAUGUGAUGUUCCUAGUGAAGUUUACUCUUCUGUAAGCUUCAUGUCCACUAUCCCAGACAGCAGUAGCCACCUUUAUAUUUUGUUGUUUCACCCUCUAGCCACAGAAUACUAAAAGGGGGUAUAUGUCUAAUCCUACCUGGGGAAUCACAAUUGUCUCCUUAGAUCUGUGAAUCACAUGUACUGUAUAUGUUAUGUUGCCAAGUACUAAUUGCAGUAGGUUGGGAUAUGAAAACUUGGGGAAUAUGCUAUGACUGUUUUCUGGGAACUAGAAUGAAUGAGGAAAUAAUUUUAGCCUAGAAAGUACAAUGGAAUAAAUUUACAGGAAGAGGCAGAGAGGGAAUGAGAUUCAAGUAAGAGCCACCCAAAGCUAUACAGUUAAAGGUCCCAGCUCUUCAGAAGACCGACUUUCACUUUCUGCUCCUGAUCACGAGAAAUACUGUGUAAAUACUACACAGCCUACAUAAAUCCUCCCUCCUUUGUUUCAGUUGCCCCCAGAGGCUUUCCUGUCAUAUAAAAGUAAAAGGAUCCUUACCAAGAUAAUGUUUUCACAAACAAUUUAAAAAUUAAAUUAUGGGCCAGCAAGAUGGCUCAGUGGAUAAAGGCACUUUCCACCAAGACUGGCAACUUGAGUUCCACCCCUGGGACCCACCCAGAAGAAGGAGAGAAUCCACUCUUGCAAGUUGUCCUUUGACCUCCACUUGUAGUUAGUGGGACAUACACACCCACACACAUACACGCACAUAUAAAUAGAUGUCACAAAGGAUUUUAUUGCAGCUGAAUUGCACUCCCCCUUUCACAUUUCCCUUUUCCUCUAAGAUAGUGAGGACAGGUGUUUAAUGCUGAUCAUUUUCCAGAGACACACCCAUAGUGAAAUGAUUUUGCACUGAUGUUAGGUUGAGGAGAACAGCUAGCAUGGCUCCAGAUUCAACUUGACAUGUUGACCCAGUUCUUAUGCAAUGAUGGGAUGGAUACAGAUACACAUUAUAAUAUCUGACACACGUGAGAAGAAUGUUACCCUUUCACAAUUUCCUGUUUUAGGACAAGCCCCUACUACUGCCCAAGCACCAUAGACUUACCAUAUCUUAAGGGACUGUUGACACACCACUUUAAAUAUAUGGCCUUAUUCUGCUUUCGCCUCCACUCCUGAAUACCCAGUUUUGUGAUCACUGGAUAAACAGGUUGAAUCAUAACUGAACCUAUUGUCAUAUCUGUCCAAAGAUCUGCAUGUAUUUUAUGCACCUCAGAACACUAGCCUCUAGAGAUGUUUACAAGAUACCUGAGUCCUGUGUCUGUUGCUAUUUAUAUUAUAUUCCCUAGGAAAUACGUUAUCUCAUCAAGAACCCAAUAUAUUUACCAGUUCCUGCUUUGCAGGUCAUUUCGGCAUGAUGUUAUUUUAGCAAUGGACUAAGAUAAUGCCAAGAUGAUAGGUGCUCUAGGAGAGCUGACCUUUGCACUAAAAUGAACUGACCCGAGUCUUACUGUAACUUUCUGAUAAAUGCCCCUUUGCUUUAGUUAGCUUGGGUCAGUUUCCGCUGUUUUUAAGUUAACUGCAUAUACCAUUAUUGCUGUUUAUUUCCGGUGGUGAACUGAUUUAUAGUUACAUAAUAGCUACUCUUGGUUGUCAACUUACUACAUUUGCAAUUAAAUAAACCCAAGUGGCUGGAA
Molecule: long non-coding RNA, 2992 nt
Organism: Mesocricetus auratus (golden hamster)
Lineage: Eukaryota; Metazoa; Chordata; Mammalia; Rodentia; Cricetidae
Exons: 3
Source: RefSeq, a predicted model, not a curated record